CCUACGGGUGGCUGCAGUGAGGAAUAUUGGUCAAUGGACGAGAGUCUGAACCAGCCAAGUCGCGUGAAGGAUGACUGCCCUAUGGGUUGUAAACUUCUUUUGUAUGGGAAUAAAAUGUUCCACGUGUGGGAUUUUGUAUGUACCAUAUGAAUAAGGAUCGGCUAACUCCGUGCCAGCAGCCGCGGUAAUACGGAGGAUCCGAGCGUUAUCCGGAUUUAUUGGGUUUAAAGGGAGCGUAGGUGGAUGGUUAAGUCAGUUGUGAAAGUUUGCGGCUCAACCGUAAAAUUGCAGUUGAAACUGGCAGUCUUGAGUACAGUAGAGGUGGGCGGAAUUCGUGGUGUAGCGGUGAAAUGCGUAGAUAUCACGAAGAACUCCGAUUGCGAAGGCAGUUCACUGGACUGCAACUGACACUGAGGCUCGAAAGUGUGGGUAUCAAACAGGAUUAGAUACCCUUGUAGUC
This 460-nucleotide ribosomal RNA is filed under the name uncultured bacterium. Its description in RNAcentral is "partial 16S ribosomal RNA". It matches the Rfam family "Bacterial small subunit ribosomal RNA", at positions 338 to 795 of the family's 1533-position model. The record is from RNAcentral.